RNAcentral lists this ribosomal RNA (270 nucleotides) under uncultured archaeon. RNAcentral's name for it is "partial 16S ribosomal RNA". It matches the Rfam family "Archaeal small subunit ribosomal RNA", at positions 477 to 747 of the family's 1478-position model. The record is from RNAcentral.
CUGCAGCUCAAGUGGUAGCCGCUAUUAUUGGGCCUAAAACGUUCGUAGCCGGUUUAGUAAAUGCUUGGGUAAAUUGUGUCGCUUAACGAUACGAAUACCGGGUAGACUGCUAAACUUGGGACCGGGAGAGGUUAGAGGUACUCCUGGGGUAGAGGUGAAAUUCUGUAAUCCUGGGGGGACCACCAGUGGCGAAGGCGUCUAACCAGAACGGGUCUGACGGUGAGGGACGAAGCCCUGGGGCGCAAACCGGAUUAGAUACCCGAGUAGUCC